UACGUAGGGUGCAAGCGUUAAUCGGAAUUACUGGGCGUAAAGCGUGCGCAGGCGGCUUUGCAAGACAGAUGUGAAAUCCCCGGGCUUAACCUGGGAACUGCAUUUGUGACUGCAUGGCUAGAGUGCGGCAGAGGGGGAUGGAAUUCCGCGUGUAGCAGUGAAAUGCGUAGAUAUGCGGAGGAACACCGAUGGCGAAGGCAAUCCCGUGGGCCUGCACUGACGCUCAUGCACGAAAGCGUGGGGAGCAAACAGG
RNAcentral lists this ribosomal RNA (253 nucleotides) under uncultured bacterium. RNAcentral's name for it is "partial 16S ribosomal RNA". It matches the Rfam family "Bacterial small subunit ribosomal RNA", at positions 524 to 776 of the family's 1533-position model. The record is from RNAcentral.